UGUGUAGCGCAAGCACAUAAGAGAAAGAUGUAAAUAAGAUUACAAAACNUUACUCUCGCUGUUAGUUCAACAUAAUAAAAAAAAACAGAGUCCCGUAGCUCAGCUGGUUAGAGUACUACACUGAUAAUGUAGGGGUCCCCAGUUCGAGUCUGGGCGGGACUACAAACGUUCAUAUACAUAAGAAGGAAAUUCUAGGGUUGAAAAAUUACGAAUUACAAAAAAUUCCUAAUUCAUAAUUCACAAUUCAUAAUUAAAUUGGGGGAUUAGCUCAGCUGGCUAGAGCGCCUGCCUUGCACGCAGGAGGUCAUCGGUUCGACUCCGAUAUUCUCCACAAAAGCCCCCCAACCCCCUAAAGGGGAGUUGACAACUAGUUCCCCUUUGUGAGCUAGGGGGCUGGAAAGUUCAUUGACAUAUUGAGAUAAAAACAUUUAAAAAGUAGAAAGUAGAUACGCGAUUAAUCGCGUAUAAAAUAAAUGUGUCAUUUAUUGCAUAUUUAAAAACAAUUCCUAUUUGUAUUGAUAUGAAUAGGAUGUACAUAAGCAAAAUAAGGGCGUAUGGGGGAUGCCUAGA
RNAcentral lists this transfer RNA (570 nucleotides) under Flavobacterium branchiophilum. RNAcentral describes it as "partial 16S-23S ribosomal RNA intergenic spacer". The stretch from base 89 to 162 matches the Rfam family "tRNA". The record is from RNAcentral. Lineage: Bacteria; Pseudomonadati; Bacteroidota; Flavobacteriia; Flavobacteriales; Flavobacteriaceae.